UUUUUUUUUUUUUUUUUUUUUAUGAAGGAAAGGUAGGCGAGGGCCUAAACACAUGCCAGGGAAGAAGAAAUGAACAGAUUGCUUUUUCAGGAGUCACAUAGUUUAACCGUGAACUCAGUUCAAAUGCUGCUCCACUCCCUGGUGGAGUGCAUCAUCCUUCACUUACCUGGCAGGGUUGCAUCCUGAGAAAUGCAUCACUGGGCAAGUUUGCCAUUGUGUAGACAUCAAAGGGCGCUUAUGCAAACGUACAUGGCAUACAUAUGGCAGUCACUCAGCAUGGCCUCUAGAUAAACACAAGAUAGAAGAGGUUGCUGUCAGGGUAACACUUGUGGUUUUCCUGUUUGUGUAAGAUAUGGUCUCAUGUAGCCCAGGUUAGACACGGUCUCGUGUAGCCCAGGUUAGCCUUGAAGACCCAAUGUAGCUGAGGAAACUCCUGAUCUUCCUGUCUUCACCUACCAAGUACUGGAAUUACAGGUCUGUGCCACAAAGCCAGCCCACAGCACCCUGCUCUACAGUGAACCUUCUUUGUUUUUCAGACUCUGACACCGACUGGCUGUGUGAUCCUGGACAGACUGCAUCACCUCAUGGACAUUUUUUCAUCUGUGAGGGGAAGAUUUCCUGGCAGUGGUCUGAGAAAUGGUGGCAAGGACUGAAGGAGUUACAUGCAUGGAGAGUACUGUACCACCAGUUGGGCAGAGAUGGAAUUGCACUUCUUUUUGCUCUGUCUUUUCAUCAUCUUAGAAGUGGGUGGAGCCUCCUCUUCAUAAUUCCUACAGGGUUUAAUACUGAGGAGAAACUUUGUAAAGUAAAGGAUUUUUAGGGUUGGGGCGGUGGCACAGUAGGUAAAGCGCUCGCUGUGUCAGCCUGAGGACCCGGGCUGGUACUUACAACAAAGCAUGGUAUGAUCAUCAAUAAUGCCAGCACAGUUGCAUAACGACGGGCACAUCCCCGGGGAAUCAGCUGCCAGCCAAUCUCAUGCUAGGUUCAGUGAGCAAUUUCUCCCCAAAAAUAAGCUGGAGAAGGACAGAGGAUGACGCUGAACUUUGACCUCUGGCCUCCACACACAUGCAUGAGUGAGUGCACCCACAUCAACACACACACACACAUGUGAAAAACAAAUCUUUUAAAAUAAUAAUAUGGGUCCCUAAGUACUGGAAUUGAGAACAGUGCCUACAUCCCAACGUUUGUAAGAUGUCAGUGGACUGCAGAAUAAGUGUGGGGAUAGUCCUCAUGGUAAUUAUUUGAAGUUUCUUUCGGGCGGUAGUAAAUGUCAAAUUCUUUCCAUUAA
Molecule: long non-coding RNA, 1288 nt
Filed under: Mus musculus (house mouse)
Lineage: Eukaryota; Metazoa; Chordata; Mammalia; Rodentia; Muridae
Description: predicted gene 45609
Source: RNAcentral